UACGUAGGUGGCAAGCGUUGUCCGGAUUUAUUGGGUUUAAAGGGUGCGUAGGUGGUCUAUUAAGUCAGUGCUGAAAUAUCCCGGCUUAACCGGGAGGGUGGCAUUGAUACUGAUGGACUUGAGUAAAGUUGAGGUGGGCGGAAUUGACGGUGUAGCGGUGAAAUGCUUAGAUAUCGUCAAGAACACCUAUUGCGAAGGCAGCUCACCAAGCUUUAACUGACACUGAGGCACGAAAGUGUGGGGAUCAAACAGG
Molecule: ribosomal RNA, 253 nt
Filed under: uncultured bacterium
Lineage: Bacteria
Description: partial 16S ribosomal RNA
Rfam family: Bacterial small subunit ribosomal RNA
Source: RNAcentral